CAGCAGCGGAAGACUCCGACUUU
Molecule: non-coding RNA, 23 nt
Filed under: Cricetulus griseus (Chinese hamster)
Lineage: Eukaryota; Metazoa; Chordata; Mammalia; Rodentia; Cricetidae
Source: RNAcentral